This 865-nucleotide ribosomal RNA is filed under the name uncultured archaeon. Its description in RNAcentral is "bacterial SSU rRNA". It matches the Rfam family "Archaeal small subunit ribosomal RNA", at positions 13 to 884 of the family's 1478-position model. The record is from RNAcentral.
CCCGCCGGACCUGACUGCUAUCGGAUUGAUACUAAGCCAUGCGAGUCUUUGUAGUAAUACAAGGCAGACGGCUCAGUAACACGUAGUCAAUCUACCCUAUGGACAGGGAUAACCUCGGGAAACUGAGAAUAAUACCUGAUAGAUCAUUAUGCCUGGAAUGGUUUAUGGUCGAAAUGAUUUAUCGCCGUAGGAUGGGACUGCGGUCUAUCAGCUUGUUGGUGAGGUAAUGGCCCACCAAGGCUAUAACAGAUACGGGCUCUGAGAGGAGAAGCCCGGAGAUGGGUACUGAGACACGGACCCAGGCCCUAUGGGGCGCAGCAGGCGAGAAAACUUUGCAAUGUGCGAAAGCACGACAAGGUUAAUCCGAGUGUUUUCUGCUAAAGAAAUCUUUUGUCAGUCCUAAAAACACUGAUGAAUAAGGGGUGGGCAAGUUCUGGUGUCAGCCGCCGCGGUAAAACCAGCACCUCAAGUGGUCAGGGGGAUUAUUGGGCCUAAAGCAUCCGUAGCCGGCUCUGUAAGUUUUCGGUUAAAUCUAUACGCUCAACGUAUAGGCUGCCGGGAAUACUGCAAAGCUAGGGAGUGGGAGAGGUAGACGGUACUCGGUAGGAAGGGGUAAAAUCCUUUGAUCUAUUGAUGACCACCUGUGGCGAAGGCGGUCUACUAGAACACGUCCGACGGUGAGGGAUGAAAGCUGGGGGAGCAAACCGGAUUAGAUACCCGGGUAGUCCCAGCUGUAAACUAUGCAAACUCAGUGAUGCACUGGCUUGUGGCCAGUGCAGUGCCGCAGGGAAGCCGUUAAGUUUGCCGCCUGGGAAGUACGUACGCAAGUAUGAAACUUAAAGGAAUUGGCGGGGGGGCACCACAA